UAACACAUGCAAGUCGAACGAAGUAGCAAUACUUAGUGGCAGACGGGUGAGUAACUUGUGGGUAUCUACCCUUUGGCUUGGAAUAACACGAGGAAACUUGUGCUAAUACCGGAUAAGUCUUUACGGAGAAAGCUUUAUGCACCAUUGGAUGAGCCCGCACUUGAUUAGUUUGUUGGUAGGGUAAUGGCCUACCAAGACUAUGAUCAAUAGCUGAUUUGAGAGGAUGAUCAGCCACAUUGGGACUGAGACACGGCCCAAACUCCUACGGGAGGCAGCAGUGGGGAAUCUUGCACAAUGGAGGAAACUCUGAUGCAGCGAUGCCGCGUGAGUGAAGAAGGCCUUUGGGUUGUAAAGCUCUUUCGUCGGGGAAGAAAAUGACUGUACCCGAAUAAGAAGGUCCGGCUAACUUCGUGCCAGCAGCCGCGGUAAUACGAAGGGACCUAGCGUAGUUCGGAAUUACUGGGCUUAAAGAGUUCGUAGGUGGUUGAAAAAGUUGGUGGUGAAAUCCCAGAGUUUAACUCUGGAACUGCCAUCAAAACUUUUCAGCUAGAGUAUGAUAGAGGAAAGCAGAAUUUCUAGUGUAGAGGUGAAAUUCGUAGAUAUUAGAAAGAAUACCAAUUGCGAAGGCAGCUUUCUGGAUCAUUACUGACACUGAGGAACGAAAGCAUGGGUAGCGAAGAGGAUUAGAUACCCUCGUAGUCCAUGCCGUAAACGAUGUGUGUUAGACGUUGGAAAUUUAUUUUCAGUGUCGCAGGGAAACCGAUAAACACACCGCCUGGGGAGUACGACCGCAAGGUUAAAACUCAAAUGAAUUGACGGGGACCCGCACAAGUAGUGGAGCAUGUGGUUUAAUUCGAAGAUACGCGCAGAACCUUACCAACACUUGACAUGUUCGUCGCGACUCUAAGAGAUUAGAGUUUUCGGUUCGGCCGGGACGAAACACAGGUGCUGCAUGGCUGUCGUCAGCUCGUGUCGUGAGAUGUUGGGUUAAGUCCCGCAACGAGCGCAACCCUCACUUUUAGUUGCCAUCAUUAAGUUGGGCACUCUGAAAGAACUGCCAGUGAUAAGCUGGAGGAAGGUGGGGAUGACGUCAAGUCCUCAUGGCCCUUACGUGUUGGGCUACACACGUGCUACAAUGGCAUCUACGACAGGAAGCAAAACGGCAACGUUAAGCAAAUCCCGAAAAGAUGCCUCAGUUCGGAUUGCACUCUGCAACACGAGUGCAUGUAGCUGGAAUUACUAGUAAUCGUGGAUCAGCGUGCCACGGUGAAUGCGUUCCCGGGUCUUGUACACACCGCCCGUCACACCAUGGGAGUUGGUUCUACCUUAAGGCAAGGUUUUAAACCCUUGACCACGGUAUAGUCAGCGACUGGGGUG
This 1377-nucleotide ribosomal RNA is filed under the name uncultured Pelagibacterales bacterium. Its description in RNAcentral is "bacterial SSU rRNA". It matches the Rfam family "Bacterial small subunit ribosomal RNA". The record is from RNAcentral. Lineage: Bacteria; Pseudomonadati; Pseudomonadota; Alphaproteobacteria; Candidatus Pelagibacterales.